GUCUACAGCCAUGCCACCCUGAACAAGCCCAGUCCCGUCUGAUCUCGGAAGCUAAGCAGGGUUGGUUGGGCCUGGUUAGUACUUGGAUAGGAGACCAGGUGCUGUAGGUG
This 110-nucleotide ribosomal RNA is filed under the name Pteropus alecto (black flying fox). The record is from RNAcentral. Lineage: Eukaryota; Metazoa; Chordata; Mammalia; Chiroptera; Pteropodidae.